This 253-nucleotide ribosomal RNA is filed under the name uncultured bacterium. RNAcentral describes it as "partial 16S ribosomal RNA". It matches the Rfam family "Bacterial small subunit ribosomal RNA", at positions 524 to 776 of the family's 1533-position model. The record is from RNAcentral.
UACAGAGGUCUCAACCGUUGUUCGGAUUCAUUGGGCGUAAAGGGUGCGUAGGCGGGCUGCCAAGUUUGGGGUGAAAUCCUCCGGCUCAACCGGGGAAGUGCCUUGAAUACUGGCGGUCUCGAGGGAGGUAGGGGCGUGCGGAACUAACGGUGGAGCGGUGAAAUGCGUUGAUAUCGUUAGGAACUCCGGUGGCGAAGGCGGCACGCUGGACCUCUUCUGACGCUGAGGCACGAAAGCCAGGGGAGCGAACGGG